RNAcentral lists this long non-coding RNA (199 nucleotides) under Elaeis guineensis (African oil palm). RNAcentral's name for it is "long non-coding RNA (EGUI_LNC010090)". Lineage: Eukaryota; Viridiplantae; Streptophyta; Magnoliopsida; Arecales; Arecaceae. The record is from RNAcentral.
GACCUAACUAGGGAUGGCAUUGGAUAGAGUUUGAGUCGGGUAUUGUACUACCCAUCCCCAAAUCCAAACUUAAUACCCUAUACCCAAAUUCUAUCCGAUAUCCGAUCGGAUAAGAAAAGAGAUACCCAUCCUCAUACCUAAUAAGUUCGAGGAUACCCACGGGUAACCCAUUUCUCCAUACCCAACCUAUACCUGCCCC